CAGCCCGGGCCGUCGCCAGCGCCAGUUUAGGCUUCCGCAGAUUAGGAGGAGGAAGAGGAGGGAGGGGACCCGAGCCCGAGGGUCCCGAGUCCAGAGCCGUGCGAACCUCCACAAAGUUUCCCUGCCCUCCACCAACGCGCGAUCCUGGGCCACGGUCCCCGGAGCUCCAGUGCCUGCCCCAGCCGAGCGGCCGCAUCCCUCUGCGAGCCACGGAUAGUGUUACUGAGUUGAGCUGUUGCAAGGCUCCACAUCAUGAACCGUGCUUUCAGCAGGAAGAAAGACAAAACAUGGAUGCAUACGCCUGAAGCUCUAUCAAAACAUUACAUCCCCUAUAAUGCAAAGGUAAAAUAGUUAAUGGGGUUUUAUCUGAUUUUGCAUUGUU
This 382-nucleotide long non-coding RNA is filed under the name Meriones unguiculatus (Mongolian gerbil). Its description in RNAcentral is "lncRNA (ENSMUGG00000012271.1)". The record is from RNAcentral. Lineage: Eukaryota; Metazoa; Chordata; Mammalia; Rodentia; Muridae.